UACAGAGGGGGCAAGCGUUAUUCGGAAUUAUUGGGCGUAAAGGGCGCGUAGGCGGCUUUGCAGUGACGGGUGAAAUCCCUCGGCUUAACCGAGGAACUGCCUGUCAGACUGUGAGGCUUGAGACCGGGAGAGGUGAGUGGAAUUCCCAGUGUAGCGGUGAAAUGUGUAGAUAUUGGGAGGAACACCAGUGGCGAAGGCGGCUCACUGGACCGGAACUGACGCUGAGGCGCGAAAGCGUGGGGAGCAAACAGG
RNAcentral lists this ribosomal RNA (252 nucleotides) under uncultured bacterium. RNAcentral describes it as "partial 16S ribosomal RNA". It matches the Rfam family "Bacterial small subunit ribosomal RNA", at positions 524 to 776 of the family's 1533-position model. The record is from RNAcentral.